Molecule: ribosomal RNA, 490 nt
Filed under: uncultured bacterium
Lineage: Bacteria
Description: partial 16S ribosomal RNA
Rfam family: Bacterial small subunit ribosomal RNA
Source: RNAcentral
AAUGAACGCUGGCGGCAUGCCUUACACAUGCAAGUCGAACGGCAGCAUGACCUAGCUUGCUAGGUUGAUGGCGAGUGGCGAACGGGUGAGUAAUGCAUCGGAACGUGCCUUUUAGUGGGGGAUAACGUAGCGAAAGUUACGCUAAUACCGCAUAUUCUCUGAGGAGGAAAGCAGGGGACCUUCGGGCCUUGCGCUAGAAGAGCGGCCGAUGUCGGAUUAGCUAGUUGGUGAGGUAAAGGCUCACCAAGGCAACGAUCCGUAGCGGGCCUGAGAGGAUGAUCCGCCACACUGGGACUGAGACACGGCCCAGACUCCUACGGGAGGCAGCAGUGGGGAAUUUUGGACAAUGGGCGCAAGCCUGAUCCAGCCAUGCCGCGUGAGUGAAGAAGGCCUUCGGGUUGUAAAGCUCUUUCGGCUGGGAAGAAAUCGCACCCUCUAAUACAGGGUGUGGAUGACGGUACCAGCAGAAGAAGCACCGGCUAACUACGUG